RNAcentral lists this ribosomal RNA (1402 nucleotides) under uncultured bacterium. Its description in RNAcentral is "bacterial SSU rRNA". It matches the Rfam family "Bacterial small subunit ribosomal RNA". The record is from RNAcentral.
AGAGUUUGAUCCUGGCUCAGGAUGAACGCUAGCGGCAGGCUUAACACAUGCAAGUCGAGGGGCAUCGGGAGGGAAGCUUGCUUUCCUUGCCGGCGACCGGCGCACGGGUGAGUAACACGUAUGCAACCUGCCCUCUUCAGGGGGACAACCUUCCGAAAGGGAGGCUAAUCCCGCGUAUAUCGGUUUCGGGCAUCCGAGAUCGAGGAAAGAUUCAUCGGAAGAGGAUGGGCAUGCGGCGCAUUAGCUUGACGGCGGGGUAACGGCCCACCGUGGCGACGAUGCGUAGGGGUUCUGAGAGGAAGGUCCCCCACACUGGUACUGAGACACGGACCAGACUCCUACGGGAGGCAGCAGUGAGGAAUAUUGGUCAAUGGGAGAGAUCCUGAACCAGCCAAGCCGCGUGAGGGAAGACGGCCCUAUGGGUUGUAAACCUCUUUUGUCGGAGAACAAAACCCGGGACGUGUCCCGGACUGCGUGUAUCCGAAGAAAAAGCAUCGGCUAACUCCGUGCCAGCAGCCGCGGUAAUACGGAGGAUGCGAGCGUUAUCCGGAUUUAUUGGGUUUAAAGGGUGCGUAGGCGGUCCGUUAAGUCAGCGGUAAAAUUGCGGGGCUCAACCCCGUCGAGCCGUUGAAACUGGCAGACUUGAGUUGGCGAGAAGUACGCGGAAUGCGCGGUGUAGCGGUGAAAUGCAUAGAUAUCGCGCAGAACUCCGAUUGCGAAGGCAGCGUACCGGCGCCAGACUGACGCUGAGGCACGAAAGCGUGGGUAGCAAACAGGAUUAGAUACCCUGGUAGUCCACGCCGUAAACGAUGAAUGCUAAGUGUUGGAGGGUUUCCGCCCUUCAGUGCUGCAGCUAACGCAAUAAGCAUUCCGCCUGGGGAGUACGACCGCAAGGUUGAAACUCAAAGGAAUUGACGGGGGCCCGCACAAGCGGUGGAGCAUGUGGUUUAAUUCGAAGCAACGCGAAGAACCUUACCAGGUCUUGACAUCUUCUGACAAUCCUAGAGAUAGGACUUUCCCUUCGGGGACAGAAUGACAGGUGGUGCAUGGUUGUCGUCAGCUCGUGUCGUGAGAUGUUGGGUUAAGUCCCGCAACGAGCGCAACCCUUAUUGUUAGUUGCCAGCACUAAGUUGGGCACUCUAGCAAGACUGCCGGUGACAAACCGGAGGAAGGUGGGGAUGACGUCAAAUCAUCAUGCCCCUUAUGACCUGGGCUACACACGUGCUACAAUGGACGGUACAACGAGUCGCAAGACCGCGAGGUUUAGCAAAUCUCUUAAAGCCGUUCUCAGUUCGGAUUGUAGGCUGCAACCCGCCUACACGAAGCCGGAAUCGCUAGUAAUGGCGCAUCAGCUACGGCGCCGUGAAUACGUUCCCGGGUCUUGUACACACCGCCCGUCAAG